GCAGUAGCCGCGGUAAUACGUAGGUGGCAAGCGUUGUCCGGAAUUAUUGGGCGUAAAGGGCUCGCAGGCGGUUUCUUAAGUCUGAUGUGAAAGCCCCCGGCUCAACCGGGGAGGGUCAUUGGAAACUGGGAAACUUGAGUGCAGGAGAGGAGAGUGGAAUUCCACGUGUAGCGGUGAAAUGCGUAGAGAUGUGGAGGAACACCAGUGGCGAAGGCGACUCUCUGGUCUGUAACUGACGCUGAGGAGCGAAAGCGUGGGGAGCGAACAGGAUUAGAUACCCCUGUAGUCCCUGUCUCUUAUAC
This 302-nucleotide ribosomal RNA is filed under the name uncultured bacterium. RNAcentral's name for it is "partial 16S ribosomal RNA". It matches the Rfam family "Bacterial small subunit ribosomal RNA", at positions 508 to 807 of the family's 1533-position model. The record is from RNAcentral.